Small nuclear RNA from Otolemur garnettii (small-eared galago), 107 nucleotides. The record is from Ensembl. NCBI's taxonomy places the organism in Eukaryota, Metazoa, Chordata, Mammalia, Primates, Galagidae.
GUGCUCACUUCAGCAGUACAUAUACUAAAAUUGGAAUGAUACACAGAAGAUUAGCAUGGCCCCUUCGCAGGGAUGACACACAAAUUCUUAAAGAGUUCCAUAUUUUU